Long non-coding RNA from Herpailurus yagouaroundi (jaguarundi), 2194 nucleotides. RefSeq lists it as uncharacterized. The record is from RefSeq and is a predicted model, not a curated record. Lineage: Eukaryota; Metazoa; Chordata; Mammalia; Carnivora; Felidae. The transcript is spliced from 2 exons.
UCCCAUGUAGUUGGAGAACCAAAGGCCUCAUACAUGACAAAAAGACUGAACCGUUCAGGUUACUUGCAUGGAGUUGGUGCUUAAAUGUUCCUCAACUUAAAGGGGAUGAGGAGACGUUGGAGGCGGUUCUGAGGAGACUCAAAAGAUGAUUAUAUGAUUGGAAGUCAGUCCUGUGAGGAAAGGUUGGGAGAAUGAAAGGUUAAGAGGCAACUUAAUAACUCUUCAAAAGACACGAAAGGGUCUAUCAUUAGGGAUGGUAACCAGUUCUUUUCCCACUCAGUGGAUACUAGAGUAAGAGAGAAAUAGGUUUAAACUGAAGCGAAGGGUAGAUACGUAAAGAACUCGUUACUAAUGACGUUUGUCAUUAUAGUGACGAUGAAAAAGAUAACCAGAAUAGCUUUAUGAUCUUCUGUGGAGGUGAAUUUUUAAAGUACGGUCCUGCCUGUAUACGUAUAAGAUGACCUCUCAAGCUACCUUCUCAUUCUGUGAAUCAAUAAGUGUAUUUUUAUUCAGAUCUUAGAGGAUCUGAAUAAAUAAAUAAAGCAUGGAUUAUGUUUUAGCCUUCUUAAUGUUCCCCCAGGGGUCCUGGGGCCUUACUGGCUCCCUGAGUAUUUGACUUGAAUCGUCAAUUUGUGGCAAUAAUUAACUUUCAGUAGUCAGCUCCAGAGAAAUGUCUGUAUGCAAUGAUGUUAUAGUGGUUUUAUAGGCGAAUAAGACUUCAGUAAAUGGAGCUAAGAGAGAAAUCUUAACAUCCAGAGAAACUGGGGAAAACAGUAGGUGCGGUCUCAAUAUAGGAAACAAGUGUUUGUAGCUUUUAUGUCCGUUUUCAGUUGUAGUUUCAAGAGACGUGCUGCAGAAUAGCCCUUGGUAAGGUUUCCACUGCUUGUGGACCUACUCUAACGAGUGCUUUGUAAAUCCUUUCCUGUCUAAUACAAGUUUGCUUCAUGCGAAUGAGGAUUACAAAGGCUUCUGACCCUUGGUUUUUGAGGCUGCGUGGAGGGCUUGCAUCACUCAGAAUGAAACCUUUUUAGAUAUGUUGGGUUGCAGAAAGCAUUUCCUGUACAGUCAGAGUGAAAACUGUGAAUUGGGAUUAUUCAUAUAGAUUACAAGAGUCUGGGCAGAACCGAUAUUUGCGCCAGCUCCUUUUUCUCCCAAUUCUUAGUUCCAAAAUCUUCAUUGUUUUACUGAAGCUUUAGAACUUUGAAUUUAGUCCUGGAAUUGUAUAUAAAUUCCUUCUUUUAGGUGAAGUGGUCACGAGAUUUAUUUAAGGUUAUAUACAUAUAAUGAGGUUUCUAAGUUGCAAAUAGUAAAUGCUGUCUACUCUUAACCAGACAGUCUCAGUAAAUGACUGGAGGUCAGAGAUGUAGCUGGCUUCUUGCAGGAAUUCUGCAAGGUGGCAAAGUGAGGGCGCUUUGGACUCCCUAAUUGUAAAAUCGGGUGUCACUUAAGAAGCUCUGGGAGUUGGAAAUAUAAGAGAUUCUUACUUUUUCUGGAACUUUUCAUUGCUAGUCCUACAGGUAUAAAUUCAGAAAGCGAGCGAUUAUGAACACAAAGAAUAAUUCUCAUGAUUCUUUAUUCUACUUGAGAGACUCUAGAGGUGGAGUAAUAAUAAAAAAAAAAAUACCGGGGACUUUUUUUUUUUUUUUGAAUAGGUUAAUGCCACAGAAUGUAGGCUUCUCAGAAUGUGAUGGCAAACUUCCAAAUAUGAUGUGGUAGUCAGAGGAGAGUCAGUUGGUUUUUCAAGAUACAAAGAACACGAAACUUCCCAGCUCCUAUAUUGAACAUUAAUUCCUGAAAAAUAUUAGGUCAAAAUGAUGUUGGCUGACUCGGUGGCUUUGUGGUUUUGCCAAGGAGAAUGUUGACACUUUUGACAUCUAACUUCAUGUUGCUCCUUCAGAAAACUGACUUUACCGAAUGAUAAACCCGGUUUACCUUCAGAGAGAAGGAAGUGAAAACCUCGUGUUACUGUAGUUGCUAUUGGUCAUUCAACAGUGCGUCUAUCUUCCCAGAAGGAAGGAUGCACCCUGACUUUUGUACCAAGAUAUGACCAACAAGCUGGAAGAAAAAAGCUGCAGUUUCAUGGUAGAAACUUGUAAUUGAAUGAGCGUAUAACUCAGAAUGAAGUUAAUUACUUAAAGUUGGCAUAUGGGGGACCCAAACCUCUUGGAAUAAAAAGAACCAUCUCUGAAAACAA